CUUAAAAAAACAUUUUCUAUAUAUAAUUACAUAUAAUUAAUUCUCCCUCUCUCUCUCUCUCUCAUUGUAAACUCUCUUCCUGUGUCUGGAAAGUGGAGCUUGGCAUCAGCAGCUUUUAGAGAGAAAAAGCCACUGAAGAAGCUUCCUUUCACUGCCUCCCUCAGAUGCGUCGGUCUGCAUCGAAGAAGACGGGUCAAUCCAAUUCUACCACUGCUUCAAUUACUUCAUCGGCUACGGAUCUUUUUCGCUCCUCCUCAAGUAAAGCAUCUUCAAAAGAAAUGGAGCGAAUCGAUAACCUAUUUUACUCAUAUGCAAACAGGUCUUCUGGUAUGAUUGACCCAGAAGGAAUUGAAACUCUAUGUUCAGAUAUGGAGGUGGAUCAUACUGAUGUUAGAAUCUUGAUGCUAGCUUGGAAAAUGAGAGCUGAAAAACAGGGAUACUUUACCCUGGAGGAGUGGCGACAGGGCCUCAAAUCACUGAGGGCUGAUACUCUAAAUAAAUUAAAAAAGGCGCUCCCGGAUCUAGAGAAAGAGGUUAAGAGGCCAUCAAACUUUGUGGAUUUCUAUAACUAUGCAUUCCGGUAUUGCCUAACAGAGGAGAAACAAAAGAGUAUAGACAUAGAGAGCAUCUGCCAAUUGUUGGAUCUUGUUUUAGGAUCCCAUUUCCAAGCCCAGGUUGAUUACUUCAUUGAGUAUCUAAAGAUUCAGAGUGAUUAUAAGGUCAUAAACAUGGAUCAGUGGAUGGGAUUUUACCGUUUUUGCAACGAGAUAAGUUUUCCAGACUUCAGUAAUUAUGAUCCGGAGCUUGCAUGGCCCCUGAUCCUGGACAAUUUUGUAGAAUGGAUGCGAGCCAAAAGGACCUAAAACCCAAUGCUUUUGGUUACUUGGUUCUCAGCUGUAAACCAUUGUUGUUGUUAUUUGAGCAGGAUUAUUGAAACUACACCAAUUGAACUCCCCUGUAUUUGUAACUUCCCUUGUUACUUGGUUUAUUUUAAUCCUGUUCUCCACCAAACCAAACGUGUAUUUUACGCUCAAAUUUCUCAGGGUGUGUUUGGAAUAGAGGUAUGAUUGGGUUUUUUAUGGAGGGAUCCAUAAAAAAGCAAUAAAAAGCAUGUGUUUUUUGCUUUUAGUGAGGUGUGUUUUGUGCUUUAAGAAGGUUGUACCUCCAAAAAAAAACCUGAUUAUAUUUUACCACAUCUCUAUCCCAAACACACACUUAGAAAGUGUUGUUUACUUUAUCGUUGUCCAUGCAAGUUCUGCUUGUCACUAGGAUAGAUACUAUUCAAGAAAAUUCUCCAUUGAGUUUGAGUA
RNA transcript from Populus trichocarpa (black cottonwood), 1310 nucleotides. RefSeq lists it as uncharacterized. NCBI's taxonomy places the organism in Eukaryota, Viridiplantae, Streptophyta, Magnoliopsida, Malpighiales, Salicaceae. The record is from RefSeq and is a predicted model, not a curated record. The transcript is spliced from 11 exons.